Molecule: ribosomal RNA, 497 nt
Filed under: uncultured bacterium
Lineage: Bacteria
Description: partial 16S ribosomal RNA
Rfam family: Bacterial small subunit ribosomal RNA
Source: RNAcentral
GAUGAACGCUGGCGGCGUGCCUAAUACAUGCAAGUCGAGCGAACAGACGAGGAGCUUGCUCCUCUGACGUUAGCGGCGGACGGGUGAGUAACACGUGGAUAACCUACCUAUAAGACUGGGAUAACUUCGGGAAACCGGAGCUAAUACCGGAUAAUAUAUUGAACCGCAUGGUUCAAUAGUGAAAGAAGGUUUUGCUGUCACUUAUAGAUGGAUCCGCGCCGCAUUAGCUAGUUGGUAAGGUAACGGCUUACCAAGGCAACGAUGCGUAGCCGACCUGAGAGGGUGAUCGACCACAAUGGAACGGAGACACGGUCCAGACUCCUACGGGAGGCAGCAGUAGGGAAUCUUCCGCAAUGGGCGAAAGCCUGACGGAGCAACGCCGCGUGAGUGAUGAAGGUCUUCGGAUCGUAAAACUCUGUUAUUAGGGAAGAACAAAUGUGUAAGUAACUAUGCACGUCUUGACGGUACCUAAUCAGAAAGCCACGGCUAACUACGUG